CCAAUAGCGUAUAUUAAAGUUGUUGCAGUUAAAAAGCUCGUAGUUGAAUUUCGGGGUUAGUAGGUUGGUCAUGCCAUCGGUAUGUACUGGUCUCACUGAUUCCUCCUUCCUGAUGAACCGUAAUGCCAUUAAUUUGGUGUUGCGGGGAGACUGGACUGUUACUUUGAAAAAAUUAGAGUGUUUAAAGCAGGCUAACGCUUGAAUACAUUAGCAUGGAAUAAUGAAAUAGGACGUUCGAUCCUAUUUUGUUGGUUUCUAGGAUUGACGUAAUGAUUAAUAGGGAUAGUUGGGGGCAUUAGUAUUCAAUUGUCAGAGGUGAAAUUCUUGGAUUUAUUGAAGACUAACUACUGCGAAAGCAUUUGCCAAGGAUGUUUUCAUUAAUCAAGAACGAAAGUUAGGGGAUCGAAGACGAUCAGAUACCGUCGUAGUCUUAACCAUAAACUAUGCCGACUAGGGAUCGGAUGAUGUUAAUUUUUUAAUGACUCAUUCGGCGCCUUACG
RNAcentral lists this ribosomal RNA (500 nucleotides) under uncultured Glomeromycotina. Its description in RNAcentral is "partial small subunit ribosomal RNA". It matches the Rfam family "Eukaryotic small subunit ribosomal RNA", at positions 591 to 1092 of the family's 1831-position model. Lineage: Eukaryota; Fungi; Glomeromycota. The record is from RNAcentral.